CUAAAGGGCUGUGGCACAUAGAAAUGUAUUUUGCUGAGCUGUGCAACAGGAUGGCACAAAGGCUGAUGGUAUUCCAGAUCCUCCAUGAAGCCUAGAAAUAUGUCAGCUACGGAGUAAUAAGUGGCUGUUACUGGAAUCACUUACUUAGACAUGUUCUGGGCCUUCUCAAUAAAUUUCAUCACCUAAAAGAAAAAGAUGUCAAUGACGACAAAUUCCGAUUUCAACACAAAAUCACAGAGCCCUCUCCAGGGUGGCAUACCUCACAAGCACUAUCACCUAGUGAAUCCCUCAAUCACCUACUGAACGUUCACAAUCUUAGGACAACAAGAAAUAAACAGGCUGAACUAAAGCAACACAGCCACAUCAGCAGCACUCCAAUACCACCUUGGGGCACAAUCCAAGGACCUGAGAAGCUGAAGACUUCGAUCAGUCAAUGUCAAGUUGUAUCUCUUGUCAAAAUGUUAACAGCCUGUCUCAUAGCCUAACAUCAGAGUAUAAAAACCAGUGAUUAUAAAACACUUAUGGAAGUAGGUGACAAAGAAAACCUAAAGAAUGACAAAUAUUUAUCACAAGUAAAAUGCCCCAUCAUCUUUCCAUUCCAUGACUGCUAGUCCAUCCCACUCCCAAAUACCCCCAGCCCAGCUUCAGGGUAUUACCACAAGCAAAGAACAGGUCAAGAAAAUAA
This is a long non-coding RNA of Symphalangus syndactylus (siamang), 685 nucleotides long. RefSeq lists it as uncharacterized. The record is from RefSeq and is a predicted model, not a curated record. Lineage: Eukaryota; Metazoa; Chordata; Mammalia; Primates; Hylobatidae.